UCACACAUAUCCUUAGAGAAUGAGCUUGCCAGUUUAAGGCCUGUCUGUAAUGACACCUGAGUGGUCAGCAGCCCAACUGUGUUCUGCUCCAGAAACAUCUGUGUGGCUUUCCUAGUUCCACACCAAGGAGCUGCCCUGCUGCUGGGUGGAUGUAGAAACUGUCCUGCCAGGGUUUCCCGCUAAAGGCAUUAACAAAUCCAGUGGGCCACAGAGGGCCCAAUCCCCCUUGGCCACUAAGGCUAAGGUAGGAGCUGGAGAGCUGUAGAGACAGUACCACCAGGAUGCUUCAUCUCCGUGACAAAGGAGAGUGCUGCAUUGUCUGGGGGCCAGGGUUCACUAUUAUGAAGAAAAAUGAGGAGCAGGAUGCACGUUAGUCUUUAAUUCACUUUUAAUAGUAUAAACCUCAUUUAGGUAGUAGUAUUAAGCCACAACAAUAAUGCCACAUUGAAACAGCAUUUAAUAAAAUGCAUAAAGCUAAUUCAUGCACUGCAAUACUCUAUAUACAAACACAACAAUGCAAAUUCUUCUUCAAGACUGAAGACAUUGAUUAGAUAUAAAAUUCAGUUUAAAAACAACAUGCUAUUUUUUAAAUGCCAUCACAUAAACAAAGUGAUUUCACAGGGAGAAGAAAGCUGUAUAAAGCUGCAGCUCUCAACAGGUUUUAAACCUGGCAUUAAAAUGUAAUGGCAUAACCAAUAUUUUUUAUAUUGUGAAGGGCAGAGGUUACAGAAACGGUCCCAAGAAAAUCUAACACCCAAAUUUUCCUUUGAUAGAUGCCUUUAAAAGGGCUGGUAAUGCAGUUACAUUCUAACAGAGAAGUCCAAACUACAAGUAAAAACUACAGCUUGUACUGUGAAAAAUGUGCAGCUUUUCAGUUAUAAAACUAGUUGAACACUGGUUUACAAGAUAAUCUGUAGAACAGAGAGACUGUAGAAAAAUAUUCCAGCACUUGAGUUGUGUGUGGCAGCAGCAUUUGAGUCCAUGAAUGCUAUGGUUGUUAAAAUAAUUGAUUAUACUUUCCUAAAGAAAAGCCAUUUUUUUAAUGUAAAGUCUACUACUUCCAAAUGUUAUCCAAACACUAAACUUUAACAGUCUAUCAAUCAAUAAAUGUUGAGCAUUUUUUUCUAUGUUGCAUGUACAAAUACCAAGACACCAAAAUUAUUGGCUUCUUAACUGAAAGUAUAGCUGGGCAUUAAAAAUAUAUGACGUUUUUCUCCCCCGCAAAGAUACCUUUUUUAAGCUCACAUUUUGGUUUUAGAUUGCUGUUAAGAUAAAUAGCCCCAAAGGAAAUUUUUUAUUUCAAUUCAUUUAGAGACUGUGACGCUUCUAUUUUCAUUUUAAGUAGAAAGCCACUUCCAAUAGUGUGAUUGUCACGACAGGCUAUGACAGGGAAAGGUCGUACAAUCUUGUGGGAUGAGGCCAAUGAAGUAGCAGAAGCUUUCUCUACAUCAAAAACAGGGAAGCUGAAGGCUAAAUAACCCACUGUCUCACAAAAGGCACUGAGUACUAUGGUCUCAUAAAGUGUGUUUAACACAUUUCAAUAACUUAUUUUUAAAAGAAAAAGAGCAACCUGUGGAUUAUGUGAGUUUUUGCAGUGAUCCAGUGAUUCCUUCCAGCAGGCCCCUGCUUCCCAGGUCCAUGAGCACUACUGCUGGGCCGGGCCCUGGCUCUCUAGGGCUGAGUCUCACCAAGUCUCAGUUUAAGGCCAGAUUAAGGGGUAAAAUUCAUCAGAAUAGACCUGGACAAGGAAAAUUUGGUAUCUGUAGCUUUAAGGACACACAUACCCAUAUUAAAAUGUAAUUUUUAUCUGAAAAUUUAAAAUCAUAAUUUACAGAAAGGAAUUAAGUCUGUGGAUUUCAUUCACAUGCUUACAGUUAGAGAAGUAACUUGCGAUUUGUAGCUUAUAUGGCACAAAGGUUAGCCAUCAAUGUCCAUGCUUAAUUUUAAAGAAUACUUGGUAGGUUAUUUUUAAUUGGCGAUAGAUAGAUGGGAAUUUCUAUUUGUUUACUCACAGGACAGUACCCAAAAUCUUGCUGACUGAGCACAGAGCAAGCCUGGAACAUUGCUACCAUCUUUGGGAGUCAGGCCUCACUUACACAGAGCGUUCUGAAUCUUUGACCAUAAUGCCUGUCUCUGGGCUGCUCAAUAGAGCUGAGUAGCUGGGAAGGCUGAUGGCUCAACUCAACUGCCAAGUUCCUUCCAGGUGUGUGGUGUGCACUAUAGACUGGCUCCGGUGAUCUGGCCAUUAUACUCUGCUGUCUCCAUCUUGAGGAUGUAGGGGAUUAUGCUGUCUAUCGAAACAUUGCCAAUGAGACCGGUAAAAAAAAGUUCUUCUGUUAUGUUGGAGCUCAUCAGCCUGAGUGCCGGCAGGCGAACGAGGAUCCUGGCCAAUCUGUAAAAGAGAGAGUCAUUGGAAAAGGAGACUAUUUGAUACCCUUCAACCACAGCUCAGCACAGGCCCCUGGGGCCCUGUCUGAACUGCACAGAAUCAAACCAAAUGCAUCCAUCUACCCACCUCUCUUUUCUGAUUUCAACAGUUCCUUUUAAAGAAAUUUAUCAUGAGAAAAAACCAAACAAGUGAGUACAAAAUGUAUGUACACCCAAGACACCUCUGUUCCAUGGGGCUCCUGCAGACUGAGGUCUGUGCAGGGGACACACUUUGGGGAAGGUGGGCCUGUGUGUCUUCCCAUGCUGUCAAUUUUGUUCCAAUGUUUAUUUUAGGGGGAUAUGAUGGGGAGGGAAAUACUUUACUUGAAAGGGUCUCACAAAUUCAUGUAGCUUCCGUUAGGUCAGAAGCUGUCACAGGAAAGCAUUCUUCCAUCCUUGACUGAAAAGCCUGUCAAUGCAUUCUGCCCUUUGGCAGAUCUGAAAACUUUCCUGUCUAAAUCUCCAUGAGAAAAGCUAAUUUAUAUAUAUAUAUAUGGCUACACAUUCAUUACAAAUAAUAUCGUUAAUUUUCACCCAAAUAAACUUUUUUCCAUCAGUUUAUCUGAAGGUAAAAUGACUUUAUACAACUCAUACACUCCUUUAUAGGGGUCAGGUUUGAUUUCUGUCAAUGAGAACUUUUCUGUCAAGUACUCUAGCACUGCUGCUUCAAUGGAUACUGACCAGAGGAGCAGACCUUUCAAACUAUUCUGGAUAAGGCAAUCUCCAUGAGAACUCAAACCUCAUGUACAGUGUUAGCCCCGGAACAAGCCAUACAGCAUCUGCUCCAACUUUUCCAAUUAAAGAAUAGCAAUCUGAGGCCACAGUCACAGUCACACAGCAAUGCCAUAAUCAGCCGCAGUCCUGGCCCUCCUGCUGGCACUCUCUAUGCCGCCUCUAGAAUUCAAGAAUUCUCUCUAGCUCUUGGGAGCUUGGAAAAAAA
Molecule: long non-coding RNA, 3367 nt
Organism: Sapajus apella (tufted capuchin)
Lineage: Eukaryota; Metazoa; Chordata; Mammalia; Primates; Cebidae
Exons: 2
Source: RefSeq, a predicted model, not a curated record